Molecule: long non-coding RNA, 341 nt
Organism: Talpa occidentalis (Iberian mole)
Lineage: Eukaryota; Metazoa; Chordata; Mammalia; Eulipotyphla; Talpidae
Exons: 3
Source: RefSeq, a predicted model, not a curated record
CUGUGGCCUGAAGAGGAGGCACACUUGGUAGACUUCCCCCUGGUCCUCUGGCUCCGCACGCUCUCCCUGGAGGUGGGUGACAACCUGGUCUUUUCCAGUUUGCUCUCCCCUGUCCUCCCUCCCCAGGGCAGCAGGGGGCAGCACGGGGCAAGUCCAUGCUGCAGACCCCACCUUUCCUGCCGCGCUGUUCCCCCACCUGUGGCUGGCCCCGUGGAGGCCCCUCCAGCAACCUGCUUCAGCAGCAACCUCAGAAAUGCAGAACCUGGGGCCACACCACAGGCCAGCACAGCACAGAAACUGCUGUUCAUCCUGCGCCUACACACCCACCUCGUCCCAGGCCA